GCCUAUUUGAUGAAUUGAGUCAUUGUAAGUUCUACAGUAAUGCAUGUAAUUGAAGAAUUUAUCCCGGAUCACUGUGUCUUUCACUUGUUCUGUACUACUCACCACAGCAGAGACAUAAGAACGUUUACGAGGAUAGAUUAGUUAGUUAUGUGAGAUGAUUUUACAAACACUUUAGAGAUUCUGAUUCAGAUUUCCCUCCUCUGAGAAACACUUAGGUUUUAAACUGACCCA
This 231-nucleotide long non-coding RNA is filed under the name Gallus gallus (chicken). Lineage: Eukaryota; Metazoa; Chordata; Aves; Galliformes; Phasianidae. The record is from RNAcentral.